CAGCCAGGAGGAAACAGGCAGGCAGAGAGACAGAGACUGCGUGUCCUUUCCAGAGCAUCAGCAGGGCCUUCCCAGGGUCUCCAGAUGGGCCAGCGCCCUGCAGACCCCAGGGAAGGGAAUGGCUGGAGCCCAGACGCCCAGUGUGCAGCCCUGGCCCCUGCUUUCCUCUGAGCUACGGCAUCACUGAGUACCGUCCCAAACUGUGUUGUGAGCACCCACGUUUCUUCCUUUGGCUGCAAGGGCCUGUCUUUUCAUUUCCAUCCGGCACAAUUUCCUAGAUGCUUCCUCCACCACGAAGCCUGGCCUGAGCCUGCCCUAGCGCACUGCAUGUCCUCUGGGCCACCAUACCUUGUUAGUUCUGCUCACUGCUUGCCUCCGUCCUCCCCGGUGCAUCCGUUAACUCUAAAGCUAGGCUGCUCAGGCCACUCUGAAGACGAUCCCUUUCUCUCUGGACUCUGUCCACCCAGCCUAACUUGAAAGACAUCAAAUCCACCCAAAGUAGCUUCAGGAGACUCUACAAUGACUUUGCUUGUGAUGCAAGUAAGACCUAGACCCUACUAACCAUGGAAGGCUUGCAGACAAGGUGAUUCUUUCCGGAAGCUUCCCCAGAAAUGGACAAAAGCUCAGCAACUUUGUCACAGGAUGUAUCAGCACCAUGCUUCAUUUGGGAUCAGAAUGUCUUGGGUAGCCCAUAUCUGCUCUGAGGGCUGGACAGUUCAAGAGAGCACUGAGACAUUCUGACCAGCCAGGAGUUUAGGGACUUGGAUGCCAUAGACUGAAUAUCUGUCUUUUGUCCCCAAAGUCAUGUUAGUUCCUGAUGUCCAGUGGGAUGGUAUUUGGAGGUGGGGCCUUUUUAGGAGGUGAUCAGGUCAUGAAGGUGGACCCCUCAUAAAUGGGAUUAGUGCCCUUAUAAAAGAAACCCCAGAGAUCUCCCUUACCCAUUCCAUCGUGUGAGGUUACAAUGAGAAGACAGCUAACUCUGAACCAGGAAGAGAAUUCUCACUAGACGCUGACUCUGUCAACACCUGGAUCUUGCACUUCCCAGCUUCCAGAAGGGUGGAGAAAUAAACACCUGGUGUUUAUAUGCCACCCCGUCUAUUGCAUUUCUGCUACAGCAGGCAAAUGGACGAAGACGGUUGAGAGCUAGAGGUGACCUUGGAGUUGGAGACCUCCCUGGCUGCGGGGCUGGUGCAACCCAGGGGCUCGGCUUCUGUGACGGCACUUCAUCUGCCUCUCUGCUUAUAUCCCAGCUGCAGUUCUUGCCUUGGGCUUUAGUCGUCUCAGACUGACUGGGCAUUUUCUGGAUAUGCCAGGUCCCUCCCUGGCCCCAGGUCCUUGAACAUACCUUACCUCCACCUGACACUCCUUUCCCCCGCUUUUUCCCUUUGGCUAAAUUCUCCUAGAUAAAGUAUAGCCCCAUCUGCCAUCACCUCCUUAGACAGGUUGGGUGUCCCUUCCUAUACUUGCUGGCUGACUCUGUGGGUCAAUUCCCUUGUCUGUCACCCCCAGUGGGAUCCUUGAUGACAGAGCUAUCCACUGACUUACAUGAAACAUCUAUGGGCACUUACUUGGCUGACUUGCCUGAGGUCACACAGCCAAUAAGUGGUCAACGGGAGAGUAGCUCCUGUGUCCUAUGGCUUGAACUGGGUUGAGUAGCGUCUCCCCAAAUUCACACCCAUGCAGAAACUCAGAGCAUGACCCUCUUUGGAUAGAGGGUCUUUGCAGAAAUAACUUCAUACAGUGAGGUCAUGUUAGCUCUAAAUCCAGGGACUGGUGUCCUUAUGAGGAGAGAAAACAGAGACGCACAGAGGGAAGAAGGAUGGCCCUGAUCAUGGGUAGAGAUUGCAGUGAUGUAGCUAGGAGCCAGCGGUACCAGCAGAGGUUACGAAGAGGCACAGAAGGAUUCUCCCCUCAAGCCUUCAGAGGUGGGGUGGCCCUGUUUGAUUUCAGACUUCUGGCAUCUGGUACCGUGAGAGAAAAAAAAAAAUCUCUGUUGUUUUUAGCCACCCGGUUUGUGGUCAUUUGUUACGGCAGCCACAGGAAAGUAAUAAAGUACUUCGCAGAGAGUGAAGGGAGUGGUUUCUCUAGGGGCUGUGGCAUCCCCACCCUUUCCCAGGAUGGGGGAGACGGCCAGGAGGCCUGCUUUCCCUGGAAGCUCUGCCCAGUGAUGGGCGUGGUGGGAGAUUCCCAGGCUGCUCACACACUGCACAGGCCUGCCAGUUCCUUCACAAGAUGGCAUUUUGGGAGCGACAUGGUGCUGGGCACCAGACAGGAGACUGGGGCACCUUCCAGGCAGCUGGACUUUGGGAAGACCCAAAGCACCCACUCACUGCCUCUAUUUUCCUUUUUAACAAAUGGGGCCUCUAGGGGAACAUGAGCCAGGCACUGUUCUAGGUCCUGAGGGUACAAUAGGCAAAGAGGUUGACCACAGUCUCUGU
Long non-coding RNA from Canis lupus familiaris (dog), 2438 nucleotides. RefSeq lists it as uncharacterized. The transcript is spliced from 4 exons. The record is from RefSeq and is a predicted model, not a curated record. Lineage: Eukaryota; Metazoa; Chordata; Mammalia; Carnivora; Canidae.